RNAcentral lists this signal recognition particle RNA (152 nucleotides) under Homo sapiens (human). Its description in RNAcentral is "Metazoan signal recognition particle RNA". It matches the Rfam family "Metazoan signal recognition particle RNA". Rfam says of the family: The signal recognition particle (SRP) is a universally conserved ribonucleoprotein. It is involved in the co-translational targeting of proteins to membranes. The eukaryotic SRP consists of a 300-nucleotide 7S RNA and six proteins: SRPs 72, 68, 54, 19, 14, and 9. The record is from Rfam by way of RNAcentral. Lineage: Eukaryota; Metazoa; Chordata; Mammalia; Primates; Hominidae.
GCUGGGUGUGGUGGCGCAGGCCUGUAAUCCCAGCUACUUGGGAGGCUGAGGCAGGAGAAUCACUUGAACCCGGGAGGUAGAGGUUGCAGUGAGCCAAGAUGGAUGGCACCAUUGCACUCCAGCCUGGGUGACAAAGUGAGACCCUGUCUCUC